GACAACAUAGUUUAAGCUGGUUGGAAAGAUGGCUACUCUGCGAGUAGUCGGUGAGAUAGGAUCUCUGUUG
RNAcentral lists this transfer RNA (70 nucleotides) under Paragonimus westermani. Its description in RNAcentral is "tRNA-Ala". Lineage: Eukaryota; Metazoa; Platyhelminthes; Trematoda; Plagiorchiida; Troglotrematidae. The record is from RNAcentral.